Non-coding RNA from Schistosoma haematobium, 45 nucleotides. The record is from Rfam. NCBI's taxonomy places the organism in Eukaryota, Metazoa, Platyhelminthes, Trematoda, Strigeidida, Schistosomatidae.
CUCCAGCUGACGAGUCCCAAAUAGGACGAAUUGCACAUCCUGGAU